Osmia bicornis bicornis is the source of this 1270-nucleotide RNA transcript. RefSeq lists it as uncharacterized. The transcript has 2 exons. Lineage: Eukaryota; Metazoa; Arthropoda; Insecta; Hymenoptera; Megachilidae. The record is from RefSeq and is a predicted model, not a curated record.
UCAUUCCUUCUAUUCGGUACCACCUUCGAUGAAGGGAGUAGCACUUCCUUCGGGCCCAUGACCAUCAAAAUGGCCGAAGACGUUGGUGUGAUGCUUCAGAAGGGCUUGGCUGAAUGGUGGAGCGAAGAAACGGAGUACAUUUUCCAAAGGAUAGAAAGAUGGGCAGCAUAUGCCAGAGGCUACAAUCGUCUGAGGUCCCAGAGAUUGUCCAGAGGAAGAAUGACCAUGCAAGGUGGACAAGAACCUCGCUGGAGUAUUUCCUCCAACAAACUCAUAAUCGAUGACUCUUCGUGGAGUCCACGUUUUCACACUCUGAAGAAGUCACGACGAAAGUCUCGACCCGAAGAAACCAAAAUCAACUGCUGUGGCACGUUUAAUUACCAAUCUAAUAGUAAUCUGGAUAGUACCUGUCUGGAGACCUACAGGUAUGAUCACAGUAUUUACUUCAAGACCAUUGGAGACAUUAAAAAUAGUAAAAAAGAGGCUGAAGAAGUUAAAAAUGAAGAGGACAGGAUUUCCAUCAGCAGUGAGGAGCUGGUGGAGUGGGACGUCAACGCAGUGUCUGACUUCAUCGCCAAUCAGAUUCUAGAGGACGGCUUUCAGAACGUUUUGGACGCUAUGGACAAUUCUGACCCGGGUACCGACGAAAUUGGUUCUGUCACUUGGUUCAAUAUUGAUUUAUCCAAACUAGAUUUGAACGAAGAGACAACUACUGUUUCAGUUGUUGAUGAACAGAAUAAUCAAAGUAAUAUGAAAAUGAAAUUUGAUAUUGAAAAUGAAGAAAAUAAUAACAAUCAUGUUAUGGAUGAGAACUUGAAGAACCAAACGCAGUUUGUGGUAGAAGAUGAAGAAGAUAUUGAGAGAUUCAUUGAUAUUAGAAGAACGGAGCAAUUUCCGAUUACAGAUGGUCGAGUGUUCGAUUGAAUUGUUUUAGCUUUUUUGAAAAGUAUGUGCUACGUUUCGUUAACCUUCUUUAAGGUCAGAUGUGUAUAAAUAUUUGCUUGUUUUAUUAUAUUUUGUUAGAUAUGAUAUCAGGAUACUUGCUAUGUAUGCCUACCGUAGAUUUACGCUCUGUAAGACGGACCGUAGGUCCUGAUGACGUAAAUCUACCCUCUUAGAUAAAAGAACCCAAAGUGGACUUCAAAAAAUUGUCCCGGGCUCAAUGUGUUAUGGUUCUUGAUACAAAAUAACAGAGUUGCCUGGCGAGAGAAAAUAAGAAAAAUGUAUUUUUAUUAAAAAAGGAAAUAUAAAAUAGGGAAAAUGGCGAUGU